RNAcentral lists this ribosomal RNA (1756 nucleotides) under metagenome. Its description in RNAcentral is "bacterial LSU rRNA". It matches the Rfam family "Bacterial large subunit ribosomal RNA", at positions 826 to 2570 of the family's 2925-position model. The record is from RNAcentral.
AUUCCAAUCGAACCCGGAGAUAGCUGGUUCUCCCCGAAAUAGCUUUAGGGCUAGCCUCGAGGUUGAGAGUAUAGGCGGUAGAGCACUGAUCGGGCUAGGGGCCAUACCGGUUACCGAACCUAGUCAAACUACGAAUGGCUAUACUUAUACUCGGGAGUCAGACAGUGAAUGAUAAGGUCCAUUGUCAAGAGGGAAACAGCCCAGAACACCGACUAAGGUCCCCAAUGUCAUACUAAGUGGCGAAGGAUGUGGAAUUUCCAAAACAACCAGGAUGUUGGCUUAGAAGCAGCCACCAUUUAAAGAGUGCGUAAUAGCUCACUGGUCGAGAGACUCUGCGCCGAAAAUGUCCGGGGCUAAAGUAUGAAACCGAAGUCGUGUCAUAUGCAGCAAUGUAUAUGGGUAGGGGAGCGUUCUCAUCGGAUUGAAGCAGUACCGUAAGGAGUUGUGGACUGGUGAGAAGUGAGAAUGUCGGUAUGAGUAGCGAAAAGAAUGGUGAGAAUCCAUUCCACCGAAAGCCUAAGGGUUCCUGAGCAACGAUCGUCGUCUCAGGGUAAGUCGGGACCUAAGCCGAGGCGGAAAAGCGUAGGCGAUGGACAACAGGUUGAAAUUCCUGUACCGGUGUGAAUCGUUUGAUCGAAGGAGUGACACAGUAAGGUAGGUCAGCACGCGAUUGGAAGUGCGUGUUUAAGCAUGUAGGUUGAGCUAUAGGCAAAUCCGUAGCUCUAAAAGCUGAGAUGUGAUGACGAGCUGUUUACAGCGAAGUGAUUGAUCCUACACUGUCGAGAAAAGCUUCUAGGUAGAGACACAUCGCCCGUACCAAAACCGACACAGGUAGGCGGGGAGAGAAUCCUAAGGUGCGCGGGAAAACCCUCGUUAAGGAACUCGGCAAAAUGCCUCCGUAACUUCGGGAAAAGGAGGACUCAUGUAGUGUGAAGGGCAGUAACGCGUGGAGCAUGAAUGAGUGGCACAAGAGAGGCGCAAGCGACUGUUUACCACAAACACAGGUGCCUGCUAAAGCGAAAGCUGAUGUAUAGGUGCUGACACCUGCCCGGUGCUGGAAGGUUAAGAGGAGGGGUUAGACUUCGGUCGAAGCUCUGAAUUGAAGCCCCAGUAAACGGCGGCCGUAACUAUAACGGUCCUAAGGUAGCGAAAUUCCUUGUCGGGUAAGUUCCGACCCGCACGAAAGGUGUAACGACUUGCGCACUGUCUCAACGAGGGACCCGGUGAAAUUGAAGUACCUGUGAAGAUGCAGGUUACCCGCGACUGGACAGAAAGACCCCAUGGAGCUUUACUGCAACCUAAGAUUGAACUUAGUUAAUGAAUGUACAGGAUAGGUGGGAGACUUAGAAUCUAGGGCGCCAGUCUUAGAGGAGUCGUUGUUGGGAUACCACCCUUUGAUUAAUUGAUUUCUAACAGGCCGAUUAACAACCGGCUGGACAGUCUUAGGCGGGCAGUUUGACUGGGGCGGUCGCCUCCUAAAGAGUAACGGAGGCGCCCAAAGGUUCCCUCAGAGCGGACGGAAAUCGCUCGAAGAGUGUAAAGGCAGAAGGGAGCUUGACUGCGAGACGGACAGGUCGAGCAGGGACGAAAGUCGGGCUUAGUGAUCCGGUGGUGCCGAGUGGAAGGGCCAUCGCUCAACGGAUAAAAGCUACCCUGGGGAUAACAGGCUAAUCUCUCCCAAGAGUCCAUAUCGACGGGGAGGUUUGGCACCUCGAUGUCGGCUCAUCACAUCCUGGGGCUGAAGUAGGUCCCAAGG